RNAcentral lists this long non-coding RNA (292 nucleotides) under Manihot esculenta (cassava). RNAcentral describes it as "long non-coding RNA (MESC_LNC010503)". Lineage: Eukaryota; Viridiplantae; Streptophyta; Magnoliopsida; Malpighiales; Euphorbiaceae. The record is from RNAcentral.
UUUUACAAAAAUCGAACCGAACCGAAUAAGAGGAAUAACCGAAUCGAACCGAACCGAUUUGGUUCGGUUCGGUUCGGUCGGUUCGAUCGGUUGAACCGAUUUUCAAUUUUUUUUUUUUUAAAUUCAUUCUAAAAUUCUAUUAAAAUAUUUUAAUUUUAAAUUUUACAAAUAAAAAAUCAAACAACUCAUAUAUUCAUGCGAACCCCAGCUGAAAUGCCCCAAUACUCAAUUCAAAAAGCAGUGUGUCAUCGGAUGUACAGAUUGGGAAGAUAAAAUCUGAACGCAAGAAUAC